RNAcentral lists this ribosomal RNA (440 nucleotides) under uncultured bacterium. Its description in RNAcentral is "partial 16S ribosomal RNA". It matches the Rfam family "Bacterial small subunit ribosomal RNA", at positions 338 to 795 of the family's 1533-position model. The record is from RNAcentral.
CCUACGGGUGGCUGCAGUGGGGAAUAUUGCACAAUGGGGGAAACUCUGAUGCAGCGACGCCGCGUGAGUGAAGAAGUAACUCGGUAUGGUAAGCUCUAUUAGCAGGGAAGAAAAUGACGGUACGUGAGUAAGAAGCUCUGGCUAACUACGUGCCAGCAGCCGCAGGAAUACGUAGGGGGCAAGCGUUAUACGGAUUUACUGGGUGUAAAGGGAGCGUAGAGGGCAGUGCAAGUCUGGAGUGAAAUGCGGGGGCUCAACCCCCGGACUGCUCUGGAAACUGUACGGCUGGAGUGCAGGAGAGGUAAGUGGAAUUCCUAGUGUAGCGGUGAAAUGCGUAGAUAUUAGGAAGAACACCAGUUGCGAAGGCGGCUUACUGGACUGUAACUGACGUUGAGGCUCGAAAGCGUGGGUAGCAAACAGGAUUAGAUACCCCAGUAGUC